RNAcentral lists this ribosomal RNA (510 nucleotides) under Triticum aestivum (bread wheat). RNAcentral's name for it is "partial small subunit ribosomal RNA". Lineage: Eukaryota; Viridiplantae; Streptophyta; Magnoliopsida; Poales; Poaceae. The record is from RNAcentral.
AUGGACAUAUGGGAACUUGACUACGGACAUGAUUUUAAGGUCCCUUUGUUUAAGUGCAAAUGGGUCAACCUGUCAGGAGGCGGGGUACAGGUAGACCCACAGUACGGAAUGACAACAGUGGAUCUGAACAAUCUUGGGUACACUAACGAACCGUUCGUCCUAGCCAAUGAUGUGGCAAAGGUUAUCUAUGUGAAGGACAUGUCUACCAAACCGAGAAAAAGAAAAGAUAAGGAAGCGAAUACAUCAUAUGAUGAGCCAAAGCGCCACAUAGUUCUUUCAGGAAAAAGGGACAUAGUGGGAGUGGAGGGCAAGACAGACAUGUCUGAAGAUUAUGAAAAGUUCCAUGAAAUUCCUCCCUUCAAAGUCAAGGCUGACCCAAGCAUCCUGAUAAACGAUGAAGAUUAUCCAUGGUUACGGCGCAAUAAGCAAAGCACACAAGCGAAAAAAAGUGAAGACAUUCUCUCCACAACUAUUAUGAUGAUACCAUGCCAACUUUCAACCUUUUCGUAG